RNAcentral lists this long non-coding RNA (859 nucleotides) under Nicotiana benthamiana. RNAcentral's name for it is "long non-coding RNA (NBEN_LNC028899)". Lineage: Eukaryota; Viridiplantae; Streptophyta; Magnoliopsida; Solanales; Solanaceae. The record is from RNAcentral.
GGGUAUUUAUAGAUUUUAAGAAGGGUUAAUAUUAUAAUUUAAUAAAUACAAAAAAAUAAAAAAUGGCCAUUUUUGCAAAGAAAUCUGUUGGCCAACGGAUCUGUAGCCGUUGCCAACGGAUAUGCUGGCCCCAGCAAUUUAAAAUUAAAAAAAAUUAAAAAAAAAUGUUACCAUUGAACUGGGCCGGUCCGGUCGGGGCUGUACUGGUUCACGAUACUGUUCACCAUACCGGGCCGGUCCGGUCCGGUUCCGAAACAAAAAUAUUUUAACGGAACAAACCGCUACCCCCUUUUAACCCAGUCCAGCCUGGCCCCCACCUACCAGUCCAGUCUGGUCCGGUCCCGGGUCAACCUGGCCUGGUUGACAGCUCUACAUGAGAUUGCCACUUUUGGUAAUUAUGUGUUUACUACCAUUUCCAUGGAGUUUUUAGUUGGCAAUUAUGUGCUCAAUUCCAUGUGGGUUUUUGGUCUUUUUGGUUAUUGUCAACAUUCUAUCUACUCCGAUUGAAAGAAAAUGAAGAGGAAGAAGAACAGUGAAGAAGAGAGAGAAGAGAGAAAGAAAGGAACUGAAAAAUGAAAAAUGCAGUAAUGAAUAAUGUGUAGAACCUUCCGUCAAUGUUCAGCCUAUAUCAAAGAAUAUCUAAUGUGGGUGUGUGUAAUUACAUGUGUACCCCUGUAACCUAUACAAAAUUGUACAUACAAAUUAAAUAACUAAUGCCCUUGGGCUGCUGCUAGUUUGGGCCGGUAGCUGCCUUGGGCUGAUGCUGAUGCUCACUAAUGUGCUGAAGCCCAACACUCCCCUUCAAGCUGGAGGGUGAACAAACACCCAGCUUGGACAAGAAUUGAUGAUGCAAAAUACC